GACGAACGCUGGCGGCGUGCCUAAUACAUGCAAGUCGAACGCUUUUUCUUUCACCGGAGCUUGCUCCACCGAAAGAAAAGGAGUGGCGAACGGGUGAGUAACACGUGGGUAACCUGCCCAUCAGAAGGGGAUAACACUUGGAAACAGGUGCUAAUACCGUAUAACGCUAUUUUCCGCAUGGAAGAAAGUUGAAAGGCGCUUUUGCGUCACUGAUGGAUGGACCCGCGGUGCAUUAGCUAGUUGGUGAGGUAACGGCUCACCAAGGCAACGAUGAAUAGCCGACCUGGGAGGGUGAUCGGCCACACUGGGACUGAGACACGGCCCAGACUCCUACGGGAGGUAGCAGUAGGGAAUCUUCGGCAAUGGACGAAAGUCUGACCGAGCAACGCCGCGUGAGUGAAGAAGGUUUUCGGAUCGUAAAACUCUGUUGUUAGAGAAGAACAAGGAUGAGAGUAAAACGUUCAUCCCUUGACGGUAUCUAACCAGAAAGCCACGGCUAUCUACGUGCCAGCCGCCGCAGUAA
Molecule: ribosomal RNA, 523 nt
Filed under: uncultured bacterium
Lineage: Bacteria
Description: partial 16S ribosomal RNA
Rfam family: Bacterial small subunit ribosomal RNA
Source: RNAcentral